Myotis brandtii (Brandt's bat) is the source of this 648-nucleotide long non-coding RNA. RefSeq lists it as uncharacterized. Lineage: Eukaryota; Metazoa; Chordata; Mammalia; Chiroptera; Vespertilionidae. The record is from RefSeq and is a predicted model, not a curated record. The transcript has 2 exons.
GCCGGCCCUGACCUGCCACCUGCCCCCGCCUCUUCACACCUGCGAGAUGCCGAUGCUCGGGCCCGGACCUAGGCGCGCCCGCCCAGAUGGGGAGAUCCAUCUGUCCACCGUGUCAGCCCCGCACAGGCCGAUCUGGAGCUGCCUUGGACCUCUGGGUAGGACUGCUGGACAAAUAUACAAACAUCACUGUGUUGUGUUGCAUCCUGUUAUAGCCCGUGAUUGAUUAAACAGGACUCACUAGUUCCGUUUCACCCUGGCUUUCUAAAUCAGUGGCUAAACUGUUGUAUUGUUAUUUCUAGGUUGUAGCCUUCAGAUUAACAUGUAGAAGUCCAGAAUGUAUGUCUCAAACUUCCUUUUUAUGCUGUGUCUUCAGUAGAAUAAAGAUGCAAGUAGUCACAUUAAAAGUAGAGUUUAUUUACCUCAUUGUAUCACAGAGGUUUUAACUCAGUGUUGAAUUCUUGCAAUCUUCGUGUAAACUGUUAUUUGGUUAUACCACUUCUGGUAUUUAAAAAUGUCUGUUUGGUCUUUAGUUAAAUUGGUCAAGUUAUGUAAGACACAUGUUUAGGCUUUCUUUUGUGCAAUGCAGACUCUGUUAGUCCACCCUGAGAGAAGCGCAGUUUGAAAUAAAAGCUGAUGCAUUCUGUGUCA